Bison bison bison is the source of this 107-nucleotide small nuclear RNA. The record is from Ensembl. NCBI's taxonomy places the organism in Eukaryota, Metazoa, Chordata, Mammalia, Artiodactyla, Bovidae.
GUGCUCGCUUUGGCAGCACAUAUACUAAAAUUGGAACAAUACAGAGAAGAUUAGCAUGGUCCCUGUGCAAAGAUGACAUGCAAAUUCAUGAAGUGUUUCAUGUAUUU